Molecule: long non-coding RNA, 16810 nt
Filed under: Vitis vinifera (wine grape)
Lineage: Eukaryota; Viridiplantae; Streptophyta; Magnoliopsida; Vitales; Vitaceae
Description: long non-coding RNA (VVIN_LNC004042)
Source: RNAcentral
GGUAGCUUAUGCCAUUAUUCUUGAUUUUCUUCUCAUUUAUUCCAUGACAUUUUCAUCUCUAUAUCAUGUAAACCCAAUUCAACAUUUUCAUCUCCCAUUUGAGAAAACAUAGGGGUUUUUUUCUUAAUCUAUGUUGAGAACGGUUACGCAUAUCUCAGACCAAAUCACCCUUUUCCUUAGUUCAUAAAGACUUUCUAGAAGCUUGACAUUCAUGAUGACUUUGUGAUCUUACUGCAUGCAGCCAGAUUUAACAGCCCCAGGUGUACACAUUCUGGCUGCCUGGUCACCAAUUUCUCCAAUCUCUCAAAUGAGUGGUGAUAAUCGAGUAGCGCAAUACAAUAUAUUAAGCGGCACGUCAAUGGCUUGUCCACAUGCUACUGGGGCAGCUGCCUACAUCAAGUCAUUUCACCCCACCUGGUCUCCUGCUGCUAUUAAGUCUGCUCUUAUGACUACUGGUAAUGACUGAAUUUUAUUCCCGACCUUUCAAAUUAUGAAAGAGGUGAUAGUAAUGGAUCUUAGUCCUUUGUGUGUUCUGUAAGCAGCUACUCCCAUGAGCGCUAGAAAAAAUCCGGAAGCCGAAUUUGCAUAUGGUGCAGGCAAUAUUGAUCCUGUAAGGGCUGUGCACCCUGGUUUAGUGUAUGAUGCCGAUGAGAUUGACUUUGUAAAUUUUUUGUGUGGAGAAGGCUAUAGUUUUCAGACUCUACGGAAAGUCACCGGGGAUCAUAGUGCCUGUUCGAAAGCUACGAAUGGAGCCGUUUGGGAUCUAAAUUACCCUUCUUUUGCGCUUUCCACCUCCAACAAAGAAUCCAUCGCUCGCACAUUCCACAGGAGUGUCACAAACGUUGGAUCACCGAUGUCUACAUAUAAAGCAAUUGUUAUAGGUGCCCCAAAGGGACUCAAAAUCAACGUUAAACCAAACAUUUUAUCAUUCACAUCCAUCGGGCAGAAACUUUCUUUUGUGUUGAAGGUUAAUGGACGGAUGGUUGAAGACAUAGUCUCUGCUUCGUUAGUGUGGGAUGACGGUUUACAUAAAGUGAGGUCCCCCAUUAUUGUGUAUGCAGUCCAAUAAAAUUCCAAAAGCCUGGUGUUUUGUAGCAGAAGCAUCGGAAUUGUGGUAUCUAUCAUGUUGAACUAAAUGAUGUGGUAUCUAUAUAAGAUGGAAAUAAAUGAUAAUAUUUAGUAUCGGUUGUAUUACCUGUCCAUACGAGCUAUUAGAUCGAAUACCAAUCGCACGAGCGACUUGAACGCCCGGUAGACCCGAAGGUUCGUUCUCAAUACCCUUCUUUCUCCUCUCCCGGCCACUUUUCUCCUAGGCGGCCAGGCCCAUCCUUUCUUUUUGCUCUCCCUAGGCACUUUUCUCCGGGGCCCACCGCACCUUUAUGUGAUACUUUAAGGACGUAGCUUUAUCAUGGUUGAAAUUAUUGCCAAAACAUAUAUAUUUAAAUAAUAAUCAAAUAAAAAUUUCAUAAUUAGACUAAUUUUAUUCAAAUAUACACUUAAAUAAAAGUCAAAUAAGAACUCCAUAGUUAUUUUCUUUUUAAAAAAAAUCUUUUAUGGGACAAGUUAUUGUUGAAAGUACAUGUAUCAAAUUUCAUGCCUUUUUUUGUUUCUCUUUAUUUUAUUAAUUUCUUAUUUUAAAAAUAUUUUUAUAUAUUUUAAAUUUUUUUCUACAAAUGUACUUAUGUAGAAAAAUUAAAAUUAAUUACAGUGAAAUAUAUUUGUACCAAUCUUCAAGAGGAGUGAAUAAAAUUAAUCUUUUUAAACAAAUCAACAUACCUUGAAAAUAACCUAAAAAUAUUUUAAAAGAACUUUUGGAAAUAAUUUUGUUCUAAUUUGGAAAAAAAAUUAUAAUUAAAUUUAAAUAAAAAUUAUUUCAUUAAAAAUGUCGUCAUCUUUGAUAUAUCUGAGGGUUUUUGGCAUUUUUUCGGUUUCCAUGUCAUGAUUAUUUAUUAAUUUGUAAUUUUAAAAUUCUUUUUAAAAUUUUUUUUACUCCUAAAAGAUAAGAUAAAAGACUCAUACCUCAAUUUUGUUUCAUCAAAAUUUGAAAAAAAAAAUUGAAAUAUAUAUAUAUAUAUAUAUAUAUAUAUAUAUAUAUAUAUAUAUAUAUAUAUAUAUAUAUAUUAGUUUUAAUUAGAGAAACAAAUUAUUUAUUUAUUAUUAAAAAAGAUUGGCUUUUAAGAUUAAAUGCUUAUAAUAUGCCAAUCACUAAAAUAAUAAAAAAUAAUUCAAAAAAAAAAAAAACCUCUAAUAUGCACUCUGUCAACAAUACAUUUGUAUUGAUUUUACAACGUAGGUAUAAAACAUUUUGUUGUGAAUAUGUUACAAGAUACUUGAAAAGUGUAGUCCUAUAAAUUUGUUUUAAGAUGAUUUUACUUAAUUCUUCAAAAAUGGAAAGACCAUUCAUGGUAUUUUCUUUGUAUUCACAAUUAAAAAGAGUGCAUGGGACCAUGUAAAAGGGAAUACAUUCUCUAUUUUAAAGGAAUGAGUUUCUUCUCCCACACCCAAGAGAAUUUGACAUUGUGGAAUAAUUUUUACUUAGGGCCUGUUUGGAAAGUGUUCUUGAAAACUGUUUUUUGUUUUCUAGAACAAAAAAGGAUGUUUCUAUUCUCCGUGUUUUCCAUGUUCUCAAAACCCUGUUUUCUGAUAACAACUUCAAGUUGUUUUCCCUGUUUUUUUGCACCAUUUAGAGGAAAAAAGAGGUGGUUGUUCUCCGUGUUUUCAAAAGGGUGUUCUCCUUGUUCUCGUGUCUCUCUUUCUUAGGUAAAACGUGUUAGCCUUAACCCUUUAAAAUCAAACCCAAUUUGAUAGUUCUGAGAGUAGAGAAAGAGUAAUUUAGAGGCUUUCCUAUUGAAUUUUCACCCCUCGACGGCAGCUACAGUAGCCACGGCCACCGCAAUCACAUGGCGUUGCUCGGCGGCGGCAGCAGCAGAGACAUCAUCAUUCACUGGUGCAACACCACCACCAUCAUUGAUGCUGACGAAAGCUGCAACCUUUCAUUGGGUUUGUGGCGAUGCGGUUUCUUGGUUCGUGGGUUUCCGGAAGAUCAAUCUCCGUUUCUCUAUUUUCUACGCAAAACCCAGCAAACACCACUAUUGCAUCCAUCUACCCACCACUUCAAAUAGACCAAAAAACAGAAUAAAUUCAAAAAUUUCAACAAGAAAAAAUCUCAAACCUUUUCUUCAUCUUCCUCCCGGUCAUGUUCCUCUCUUCUUCUACCACCUCUCUUAUCAGUCUCUUUGGUAGGAGAUCUGAAAGCCCUUUUCACAGCAAUCAACCAUGAACUUCCCCCCUUCUUCCCCAUAACCUAGCCGCAUUUACAGCAACCCAGCUAAACCGAACUCCACAAAACAAGCAGCAGGAGUAUAAUUUCAAUGAUGUUUUGACCUAAAACAUGUAUUAGUAUAAUCUAUUUAUGAUUAAAAUAUAUAUUUUUAAAAUGAUUAAGAAGUUUAUCUUUUGUGUGAAUAAAAUAUUAUUAAAAUUAAGUAUAAUUAUACAUGUUUAUAAAGUAAUUAUUUAAAAAAAAUUAUAAUUGAUGUAAAAAUUUUAAAAUCAAAUAAAUUUUAAAUUCAAAUGAAGUAUAAAUUCAAAAAUUAUUUAUAUAUUUAUAAUAUCAAAUUAAUGAAAAAAAACUUACUAAUAAAUAAAUAAAAAGCAACUCCAAACAUGCUUUUUUUUGUUUUACUUAUUUUAAAAAAAAUAUUAAUUCAACAAAACAUAUUUUUUUAUUAACUCAACCAAACAUGUUUUUUUUUUUUAGAACAAAAACUAUUUUUCAGAAUUCAGUUCCCAAACACAAUUUUUUUUUUUGAAUACGCAAAAAAUUGUUCUUAAAAACUGUUCUCAAAAAUUGUUUUCCUGAACAGUUUUCGAAAACACCAACCAAACAGGCCUUAGUCAUCCAUGUACAAAACAUUUGUUUCGAUUUGUGAAAGACAUUUUGGAUAUAAGAAAACAUUGUACAUCAAAUAAGGACCCAUUGUUAUGUUCGCCCUAAUAUAAAAUUCCAAAAUCUUCGUGUUGGUAUCAACGCAUUGGAAUUGUGAUAUAUAUAAAAUUGAAAACAAAUGGUGUGACAUGAGUAAGAUGGAAACAAAAGAGAAAAUUGUAAGCUUAUAAUAUUAAGGAAAUUUGGAAUUAAUUUUAAAAUAAAAUGUGUCAUUAAUUAUUUGACUAGUUUUUUGUAUAUGACAUGGAGGGUUGUUUCUCAACGUAACGUCGUAACACAUUGCUUAUUAAUAGGAUAUGUGAAUAUUAGUUGUGGAUUAACACCUAGAGCCAGCUUGAGGUUGAUUGUGGUGUUAUAAAACUUUCAAAAAAAGACUCAUAAAUGUAGUCUUCCUCUAUUUUAUCUUUUUCUUAAUUUUUCUAAUAAAUAUAUAGACCACAUUACAAAUCAUGUAACAAUACAAUCUCCUACAUAGUUUAAUCAAUGUAAGUCAUAUGCCGAAAAAAAAUCAAUACUCCUAGUAUAGGAAAUAAUGACUUAUUCAUAAAUACGAAUCUUAUGCUAUAAUUAAAUCAAAAAUAGAAAUUAAAGAAUAAUAAAGAGACGAAAAAAUACAUGAAUAUAAGGUGAAAAAUCUUUAAGGAGAUAAAGAACUAUGAACCAAUCUUAAUUAAUUACAACAUCUAUUAUAAAGGAAAUGUCUGGUUCAAGAUUUUACUUAAUAUACGGCUUCCAAUUCUCUCCAAGGCCAUUUGUUUAGUAUUUUAGGGAUCUUAACUUUCCACCGUCUCCAUGUGAAACUUUUUUGGAACCCCUUCAAACCUGAUUUUGGACUCUUUUUGAUAUCCACAGAAAAAUACAUUUAACCAAAAUGAGAGUAUGAACAAAAAUAAUGGAAUUAAAUGGUAGUAAAUAAAUCUAUUAAAUAUAUAUAUAAAAAAUGUAUAUAAAAUUACUUCAUCAAGAUGUGAAUACAAAGUAAACACCAUGAAUGGUCUUCCCAUCCCUGGAGAAUUAAGUGAAAUCAUCAAAUAGUGGAUGUUGUAAAACUUCCUUUCAUCAAAUAGUGGCCGUUCAUUUUCCAGUUUAUUUUUUUAUUAUAUUUUUAAAAAUAAAUCAUUUGAAAUGUCGUGUAAGGAGUAACUCAAGCAUUUGAAAAUAAUAUAUAUUGGACUUUGUAGGUUGAUCAUCAAAUGUGUAUCAUAAGGUUUAAGCGGUUAGAUUUGUAUCUCGAUUGUUGAAAGUGUACAAUAAAGUUUAAAUCAUCAAUGAUGAUGAUGCAAGUAAUGGAAUUAAGUAUAAAAAAAUAAAAUUAAGGUAACAGUGACAAAAUCAAAGUAUAAAAUAAUGAGACAAAAUUCGGUAUAAAGAAAUGAAAUUAUAAUAUAGACGUUGAUUAUUUGUGCUUUUUAAUACUUAUCAUCGAUUCAGUGUUACAGAGGGGCCUACGAUGAUUAAAAGAGGAGGAUUGAAAGGCUCAGGUAUAUAUACAUGUCCAAAGCAUCAGAAUGUGCAUAGCUUACCAUCUAAUGGCAAGAAAAAACUCUUUUCUCUGGUUUCUCCUUCUUAGUCUCAUCUGCACUCUGGUCUGUACCCACAGUACUGCAGCAGCUUCGGAGGAUGAUGGUCGAAAAGCAAUAUACACCCAUCUCUCUUUUGUUUGUUCUUAAUGGUCUGGUCAUUACAUGAAGCAUGAAGCAUGGGCCAUGGCCUAAUAAUUUUUACAUGCAUGCAUGGCAGAAAAAUUAAGAUUAAUCUUGUGUUGAAAAUCAUGGUUGAGUAGUGUUAAUAAACUGGAUUUGCACCAAAAAUAUUGUGGAUGCAGGAGUAUAUUGUGUAAAUGGGUGCCAAGCCUGCCGGAUUUCUCGGUAUCUGCCAUUCACACUGACAUGCUGCAGCAAGUCUUUGGCAGGCCAGUAUUCACUUUUUUUUUUCCCUAAUUUUUUUAUUACAUAUAUGGUACCUAAUUUUCCCCAUGGAAUGCCUUUCAGCAGUAGGGCAUCAAGUUCUCUGGUCCGCAGUUAAAAAAGGAGUUUCAAUGGAUUCGUAGCGAAACUAACAGAAGAGGAAAUGCAGCAAAUAAAGGGUGGGUGGAAUUCAUCUUUCUGCAAUUAAUUGAAUAUUUCGGAAGUAAUUAACUCGGGCAUGUUACAUAUGGCUAACAAAUAAACUGUAACUUUGGAGUUUCAGGACUGGACGGGGUAGUCUCGAUUUUCCCUAACGAAAAGAAACAGCUCCACACAACAAGGUCGUGGGAUUUCGUGGGGUUUCCCCAACAAGUUAUAAGAACUAGUGUUGAAAACGACAUAAUCAUAGGAGUGUUAGACAGUGUAAUAUGGCCACAGUCUGACAGCUUCGAUGACGAAGGAUUUGGUCCACCGCCUAGCAAAUGGACGGGGACUUGCCAAGGCUUUUCCAAUUUCACUUGCAACAAGUAAAUCUUAUUGACAGAGUGUUUAAAUACCCUGCUAUAGUUAAAAGUUCUAAAAGUUGAAAGACUAUAUAUCCUUAACAAAAGUUUCAAUUAAUGUUAUUGCAGUAAAAUUAUUGGAGCCAAGUACUAUCGGAGCAAUGGACAAUUUAGCAAAGAAGAUUUGCAAUCCCCAAGAGAUUCAGACGGCCACGGGACACACACUGCAUCCACUGCAGCUGGGGGCCUAGUUAACAUGGCAAGUCUCAUGGGCUUUGGCUUAGGGACUGCUCGGGGCGGGGUUCCAUCAGCUCGGAUAGCUGUGUAUAAGAUAUGAUGGUCUGAUGGCUGUUUUGAUGCUGAUAUUCUCGCAGCAUUUGAUGAUGCAGUUGCUGAUGGGGUUGAUAUAAUAUCUAUUUCAGUUGGGGUAAAACUCCCACAAAUUAUUUUGAAGAUCCAAUUGAAAUUGGAGCUUUUCACGCAAUGAAAAAACGGAUACUAACAUCAGCUUCUGCUGGUAACCAUGGACCUCAUCUUGCUUCCAUCACAAAUUUCUUGCCUUAGUCUCUUUCCGUGGCUGCUAGCACCAUAGACCGGGAUUUCUUUACCAAGGUGCAACUAGGCGACAAUAACGUUUUUGAGGUGAGUAAGCUUCAUGGCAGUUCCUUUGCUUACACUUCGAACUAAUAACCAUCACACACAAAUUUUUCAUUUAUUAAAGUUCCAACCAUGUGAAACUGAUUUUUGGAGGUUACAUCAUUGCUCUUUGUGUAGGGAGUUUCAAUAAACACAUUUGAGCUCAAUGACAUGUAUCCUUCCAUUUAUGGUGGAGAUUCCCCGAAUACUGCAGGAGGUAUUAGUGGGAACAGAUCUAGGUACUUAUUAAAGAUCAAAGAAAAAGAGUCAAUGGAUAAUGAAAGCCGUAAGUUAGAAAUCCUGAAUUUUAAAGAGUGUGUGAUAUAUUACAAGACUUUCAUUACUGAAAUGCAGGUUUUGCGAAAUAAACUCGAUGAACCCAAAUUUAGUGAAGGGUAAAAUUGUCCUUUGCAUUGGGCUGGAUAGAGCUGGGCCUAAAGAUGCAUUGAGUGCGUUCUUGGCAGGUGCCGUUGGGACUGUGAUAGCGGAUGGACUCCCCAAAGAUUUCAGCCUCAUUUUUCCCUUGCCUACAUCUCGCCUUACUGCAGGAGAUGGUAAUAGAACUGCCAAGCUACUACAUCAGCUCAACAAGGUAUCAAUUAACACAUCUUCCUACUUUUAUUUGGAGAUGAUUGUAAAUAAUAUAAAUGAUAUGCUAAGGAUUUGUACGGCAUAUAUAUACUCAGUCUUAGUCUUACUACAUUUAAACAGUAACCCAACUGCAUCGAUAUUGAAGAGUAUUGAGGUUAAUGACACAUUGGCCCCAUAUGGACCCUCCUUCUCAUCAAGGGAUCCAAACCCAAUUACACACAAUUGUGGACCCGUUUUUUUCACCUACGUCCCCACUCAAUCGGCGAGACUUGCUUUUAUUUGUGAAAAAUUAUUUUUGGAAAAGUCGGAGUCGCCACUUAUUUUAUUUUAUUUUAAAGGAAAAAUAAAAUAAGAAAUAAAACCCUAAAAAAAAUUACUCCAAAGUUUUUGGAAAAACGUGUCUUUGAAAAAACUUGAGUCUGGAUUUGGGGAUCAAGUUACUUAUUAGGAAGGUACCUCUAAAAGGUAGCACCCCUCUAAGCCCUAUAAAGGUCUCUACUAACUAAGUUAAGGGAGAUAAGACAAUUAAUUGAUUAAUUGAGGGUACCUAGGUAGACUAAGGUGAUUUCAAAAAAUAGUAUGUCAAACAAAAUCAAAUCACAAUAAAGAAAAGUUAAGAUGCGUACCUGAAUGGCUUCUUAAGCGCCAUUAAAAGACAUCAAAGGUUAGUUUGAAAAUAUGACAUAUAACAUGCAUUUUUAUCAAAGAUGAUCAAACAAGCAUCAAGGCAAUCAAAUAUGACAUCAAACAUGGACAUGACUCAUGAUAACAUACACAUUCAUAAAAUUUUAGAGUUGGAGGGUAGAAAGAGUGUACCUGAUUAGCGAGCAUCCACACGUCUAUGGAAAACUAGGUUAGCUUAAUAACAGGUAUAAACACUUCUCAUAUAUAUCAUAAAGAAUAAUUAAAAUCAACCAAAUAUCAAACAAUCCCCUCAUUUGAAUCAAUAUUAGAGAAGAUAUCAAGAAUGUCGGACCCCCCACCAAGGUCCAAAUUGCUUUUGCACGAAUUGAUUCAAUUAUUCCUAUUAUUUAGAACCAUGAAGUUUAUUCGUGCUUGAGGAAAAUCGAGAAAAUCAAGAAAAUGGUUGAAAGUCAAAAAAAAUAGUGAAAGUGCAUGCCAAGAGGAAAAAUGGCAGCAAAAGAUUAUUGAAAUCUAGAUUUUAUUGUUUAAAGAAGAUCCGAAGAUGAUUCUCUAAAAUCAGAGUUAUUUGGAUGAAGAUGAUUUUGAAGACACAAUUCAUAACAGGUGAAAUCACGAGGAAUAUGAGAGGGGUGGAAAAAGGAAGAGGGUAGUGUGCACCAGAGUGGCCAUGUCGGAGCGAGGCUUGGGGGUUUAGCUGUAGCUAGAUUGCUGAUGGUUGUUUGAAGAGGCCUCUGUACAUUGCUGGCAUGUCUGGAGAAGAGCUGGCCAUAUCCAUUUCAGAGCAUGUGCUCACUUGCUGUCAAAGCGAUCGCCAUGGUCGGGACACAUGGGCAACAUAUAAUGAAAAAGAGGCCACAGUUGCUGUUUACAGAACCCAUGAUAAAACUUUUAUGCAGGUCAUGAGGUAAAAAUGUUGGUACAUAAUUGAAAUCCUCCAGCAGUUUCUGUGCAACUUCUUCCUGUUCACUUGCAUCUAUUUCAACCUUGAGAGACCCCACAUAAAUGACCUCUGUUUCAGGGGAGAAACCAUCCUUUAAAUGCAAUAGAAAGGCAUCUUCAUCUAAACUGAAGCACCAUUUGGCAGUCACUUUAUCUCUUUCAAGAUGCAGCCAUGGUAUUCUCUGAUUUAUCUACAGCCAUGAUGCUUUGAAAAUCCGUCGUGAGUCUUCUCAAAAAUCUGGUGAAGCCCCUCUUCAAAAAGCUGUGUUGUCCCCCUGAAAAAUCUGGUCAUUCAUUCUUUUCAAGAAAAAGGCCAUACUUCCUCUUUCAAGAUCUUCAUUCCCCAUAUUUCUGAAUUUAAAUUCCAGAAUCUCAUACGAAAAUUGAUUGGCUGCAGAUAUUUCUGACAGAUGGCUUGACUCCAACAUGUAAUAACUUUCUAUGAAUUCUGGGUUCACAUCUGGUCUUAGAAAAGUGUAGAAAAAUUCUCUUAUAUUAACAUUUGAAUUCUGUUUCUAUUGUCAACUUGCUUACAUUCAAUUUUCUUCAACUGAAUGCUCGCAUCUUAAUUGAUUUUCAGAUGUCCAGUUUACUGAAUAACUCCUCAUUCUUCAGGCGUAUCAAAUUGCCCAUAAUCAGAAAUUAACUCUCAGUCAAUAGGAUUCAGCAACUUAUUCGCGUGUGUGAAGGCAAAUGGGCAGUAAGCUAGAGACUUUCUGAUGGAUCCUGCAUUUCUGGACUUUCGAGAGUGGCUGCCAAGAAGACACCAAGCUCCACCAUCCUCUUGUUCCUCCUGAAGGCUUCUUCUCGACGGGCUUCUUCUUUGUUUUAUGAACCAGGACCUGAAUCUGGACAAAAAGGCAGCGUUUACACCAUUGACCGAAUUAAGACUUCCGACUUUUCAUUUUUUUUUUUUAUCUUGCACCAUCUAGUUGUGUUUUCUGAUCUUACACAAUUACUGUAGGAAGACGGACUUUUGCCACUUUCAGAAGGUACAUGAAACUCAGGUGUAACGCCCAUCAUCUUCCAAAUAACACAAAGAACAUCAGACGCUGUCUUCCAGGAUUUCUGUGGAGCUUUUCUUGGCUUCAACUUCAUUGUAUCUGCUUUAAAAUCGGUAUCCUUCCAGGACUUGAUAACGCAGGAACAGAAGAGAUGAUUUUUGGAAAUGAGAUUGCUACUGUUGAACCAAGAACUGCAGAUUCUGCUGUUGAACAGUCUUCCAUAGUCAGCCAACAAUGCGUGUCCCCUCAGGAAAACUUUAAAGAAUGAACUGGAGGUUGUUGACUUGAUGCUUAUAGGACUGCCUUUUCUGAUUCAUCUUGUACUUUUACAUCAUUUUCUGUUUCAUCAGUGAUCUGUCAGUAUCAGAAAGGAUAGAAAUGCAUUUUCGCUUUGAAGGAGGACCUUGGUUCUCAGCACCUCAACUCAGGCUAAGUUUGCCUGUUUGUUCCCAUGUUGAAGCAAGAAAAUAUAAAUGGCAGUAGUAUUUUCUAAGCAGCUCGGCAUGUCUUGCGUUUUGUAAUUGACUCUUGAAUUUCUCAGCCUUGAAGGAUGCUUUCGAGAUGCCCAUGGAGAACUUCAUCCUUUCCAGAAUAUACGAAAUGGAGUUGAGAGCAAGUUGAAUUCUUUUAGCUUCAUCUUUCUCAUGACAAGAAUAAACUCGAAUUCUUUAAAGUCAUUUGAAUGGGCUUGCUCAACUAUUGAUUUCUCAAAAGUUCCAUGUGGAAUGGUUUAAUGCAGAAAAUGCUAAAUUUUCCAACAUGAGGAAAAUGAGAAGAAAUGCAGGAUCUGGAAAUGAUUUGAAGCAGCUGAGGAACUCGAGCACAUAUACAUUCGGAGGUCAACAUUCUCUAAACCCAUGGUUAUUUGUCUAUUCUCUGACCUGAUGUUCAUAAGUUUCUUUAAUCACACAAUUUCAGAAACUUAAUCAAAAUAUGCGGUUUUCUGUCCAUUUUCUGGUUGCCUAUAGAGAGGUUUCUGAAUUGAUCGUCACUGGAUGAAACACAGGAGACUCAUCAAGGAUAUCUGCUGUGUGCAUUAAAUUGUUGUGCGUCUCCAAAUAAAAGUGUUCUUGGCCUCCUACUUGGAUUUCUCUUUCUAUGAUUUUCGCCAAACAUGUGAGAUAGCAAUUGGUCGAUGCUUGUGGUCCAUCUCUUUCCCUUAAAUACCCGAACUUGCCACCUCUGGUCUGUUUGAAGGUCCGUCAACUCACUAGCAAAGAGGAUAAUCAAAGUAACAUGAAUCACCUAAUUUGCAAUCACUAUUCAAGAGGUUGGUUUAGACUUCUUUGUGUCAUCUGGUGCUUUAGUAGAGCCAUUAAUUGUCGCUGCUGGGCAUUCUUAAUCUGAUCUCUAGUCGGGGGGUGGGGGGGGGGGGGGGGGGGGGGGCGGGGGAAAAAAAAUUUUUUUAAAAAGGCCCAAAAAAAUUUUUGGGGGAAUUUUAAAAUUUUUAAAACCCCUCUUUAAUUUUUUAAGGGGUUAAAAAAAAGAAAAAAAUAGGGGGGGCGGGGCCUUUUUAAAAAACGGGAAAAAUUUAGGGGUUUAAAAUUUCCCCUUUAAAAAACCAAAUUUUUUUUUCCCAAAAAAAAAAAAAAAAAAAAAGGUUUUUUUUCCCAAAAUUUUCAAUUUUAUUAAAAAACCCUUUUCNNNNNNNNNNNNNNNNNNNNNNNNNNNNNNNNNNNNNNNNNNNNNNNNNNNNNNNNNNNNNNNNNNNNNNNNNNNNNNNNNNNNNNNNNNNNNNNNNNNNGGGGGGGGGGGGGGGGGGCGCGUGGCAACAAUGAUUGUUAUAAAAGGACCAGAUUAAUCUUCUGGCUGACUUUGAAGCUUUCAGACGUCAUCUCUGAGUCUCUGAUGUGAUCAAAGCAAGGAAAAUAUCAUGGCAGUCGGGCUCUUUAUAAAAUCGGUGAUAGCUUAGGGGUUUGAAAUUGCACGCUUCAACAACCUACUAUCGUUUCUCCUAAAAAAUAAUAACAGUAACAGUGUCAUGUCUCCAAACAUCUCAAGUUCAAUCAGAGACCCUAUUCCAAUAUCUCCAAUCUGAAAUUUCUAAGUGCUCAUGCUCUGGAACCUGUGACUAUGCUACUUCAUCUCUGUUUGUGCGCGGACAAUUGAACUUUUCCUAUAAUUUUCUUUUCUGUUUUUCGAGAUUCUCCGUGCUGAAGGAGGCCUCAUGAUGAGUUAGAAUUGUCCUCUUUGGCAACGGCUCCCUUAAAAGAAACGGGAAGAAGAUCUGUAUCCCCAUUAAAAGCUCUACUAAUCCCAUAACAGUUUCAGAAUUCUGAACCAGUUGGUCUCUUAGCCGGACGAACAGAUGAAGUCUGUAUGUGAUUCCCAUUUAUUCAUCAAGAGCAAACUGAAGACUCUUGAUGUCAUAUCCCAAGCUUCAUCCCAUCCAAGUCCUUCAUCAUUCAUCAGUAAUCGCAUCAAUUCUGGAAUUGCACGGGUAGGAUGUGUAUCGUUCAACUGCACUGCUACCUUAUUGUGAAAUUCAGACCAUUGGCUUGAGCCCCCAUCUUUCCUCCUUGAAUCUGAAAAUAAUGUCCUGAAGUGAGGCAUUGCAUAGGAAAAAUUGUUGCUUUGGUUGCAAGAGCUUUCCAUUUUCUGUAGCAUCUCUAGGAUAUAGAACAACACAAAUCUGCUGAGCUCGAGAAUGAAGCUGUGCAGGAGCUUCAUAUUGCCCAUCACUAAAGUUGACCAUCUGCCCAGAAUUGCAGCAUUCUGCUCAGAAUUGCAGCAUUCUGCUCCCCUACAGCAUUCCUCAUACUAUUUUUGGUUGCUAGUAUUAAGCAAUACUGUUCAAUACUUGGAUUUAAAAAUGCAGCGUGAUUGGAUGAAAGAGUAGGCUUGUUGAUCACAGAAUCCAUUUGGCAGCCAAGCAUUAUCAGAAAAGAUAGGAAAUACUUCCCUAGUUCCUACUCUGUGAUACUUGCAAGUCAGACUCACAUCGUCUUGGAAGAACACGAUCUACAGGUUCCAAUAGCUGCAAAACAUAGACGAAAUCCCCUGCUGUGAUGGCCAUUACGUUUGCUGGAGAAUCCCAAAAAGCACUGCCUUUACCACUAAUCUUCGAACCACAACUUCAAAAGCAAAGUUGGAGAAUGUUACUUUCUGAAGCAACAGACACAGAGAAGCACUCAUAAAGAGGCAACAGUUGUUCUUUAGUAGAAAAUAUGGAUGCCAAAUUUGGGCUGCUUGUCAGUAAGUUCUGGAGAGAAGUCAAUCCAAACUGAACACUGCUUCUGUCCACUGAGGCAUUUGAUGCCACUCCUCAAAGGUCCUGUAGAGAAUAUUCAUUCAGAUCAAUAUCACCAUUGUGCAUGGCCUGACUAUAAGUGCUGGUGCCACCAUUGACAAAGGUUUGAUUGUAGGAACCUGCAAUGUGAUUGAUCAACCGAUUCUUUUCUGUAAAAUUGCCAUCCCAAUUAUAUAAUGUCUGACUCAGACCUCCAAGAUCAAUUAGAUUCAGAUUCUGAACCACCCCAUUGCAAUUCUGAGUUUCACGCCCACCAGGAAAACCCAAGAGUACUUGCCAAUUGAUUCUUCCUGACUUCAGAUAAUUUAGUUUAUGUCUUCUGUGAUUUCAUUUUUAUUUCCAAAUUGAUUUCUGCCAUCAAACUCUUGCAGUCUGCUGCCAUCCCUAUAAUCUUUUCUUUGUUGUAAGGGAUACGACAUGCAGGGCACCGAACCUCUGUUUCAUCCUCCUCAGCCAUGUUCAUUGUGUCACGCCAUCACCAAACACAUAUCUCACAACCACAUUUGCAUGGCUUCAAUUUGCUAGUCGGUCAAUUCCAUCUCUUCAGCACAGAGAGGACAAGUCUUUUCUCCUUCGUCACUCAUGGUUGUCACCAGAUACUGUUCAUCUAACUUUACCACUCUUGGUGGUACGCCUAAGAUUAUACAUCAACAUGUACGCAUCACCAGAUGAGUAUGUCUAUGAACCACUAACAAUACUACAUUCUGAAGAUUGUAGCUGACCAAUAUUUAUAUGAUUUCCAUUCAUGACACCAUUCAUUGGUUCAGUGGAAGACAGAUGAACAGAUGGCUCAGUUUGAACAGGUUUAGCAGCAGAACUUGAAGACCCCUCUCCAAAUGGAUGAUGACCCAGGUUUGAGACAUGCUCAUCAUCAAAUUCCCACCAUUGCCCUGUAUUCUCAUCUUUAAUAUGAGCUAUGUAAUGGCCACUGUUCACAGUAGUCCCCUCGUGAAUCAGCACAGCUGACAAGUCAUAUAUUAGUUCAAAAUCAGAAGGUUCAGACAACCUUUCUCUCAUAUCCAAUUCUCCAGGAAAACAGAAUGCAGAAGUGAUUAUCUUCUUUGUUGUAGUCUUUGGAAGGAAAACACAGCGCUUGAGCUGGAAAUUAAGGACAUAAGGCCGUGUGGGUAGCUUAAUGCUACGGAUGGCAUAAAACCAUUGGAUGAAUCAACAAAGUCAUUAAGUACAUUACUGAUCUCCGUGAAAACCCUUCUCCUUGCUUCUGUAGAGUGAACACAAGCUGCCACUAAAAAUUGACUAGCCCAGGUUGCUAGUUUAUGCAUCCAAUCAUCAUCAAUUUUUCUUUUUUUUCUUUGUUUUUUGGAACUUCUGGAAUAUGGAAGAAACCUAUGAAAAAUAUGGUGGGAUAUUCCAGUAGUGCAGUACACAAUAGGACCCCUUUCUCAAUUGUCAGGUGGCUCCCCAUUCUGCCUUCUCCUAUCUGCUGAAUCAAUCAAUCCGUCCUUGAGAAUAGCUCUAAGCCGUUUAGACCCAGGUACAGAUGAAAUUCUCUCCCAAGUUACAGUGUCCCUAAGCCAACACAAGCAGAUAACACAUUCACCAGUGUGAUCUCAUUCAGUUUCACGGACUGCCUUCAUGAGACAGUAUAAAUCAAUUUCUUCCUCAGAAAGUCCACACUGCACAUAUCCCGUAAUGAUGGCAUUCCAAGGGGGGCGACUUCUUACAAGAAACACCAUCAAAGAUUUUUCAAGCUUUCUUCACAUUCCCGCACUUGGAAUACAGAUCAUUGUUACCGCAUCGAGCAGGACCUCAUCAGCCGAAAUAAGCAUCCGGAAGACAAACUCGACAUCUCCACAAAAUCCCUUUCUUCCCCAUACACGUUUAUCAUUGCAGUCUGGAAAACCACAUUCCUUCUCAUUGGUAUUUCUUCAAACAACUCCCACGCUCCUCAAUCUCCCCUCAGUGUACAUACCAUGAAAUGAUCGAAUUUUGAGAAGCCACAUCUCUAAUCCCCAUAUGAAGAGCUCAUGGCCAUGUGACGGGUAGGAGGAAAAACAUAAACAAGUAUAGUGGAGAGUAGAGGAAACAAAGAGAGAACAAACAUGCGAGAUUGAAAUAAGAUAAAGCCACAUCUCAUGAUCUUUCAAUGGGCUCAGGCUAGUGGGGAAGAUCACAAACAGAUUUGGGACAAAAUAAGUACGCAACCAAUAUCAACAAAACAAUUUGUGGCCCUUUCCAUCCACACCAAUCAGCAGUACAUUAAAUAUUCAGAAACGAACACACGGAGAAAUCGAAUAUGGGUAAGAAUUCCAAGAGUAACAAGAAGCAUACUCGGACAGCCUUGGUUGCAAUUGCUCCUUUCCCGCUUCCUCUGUGCUUCUCCCAAAAAUCCCCCUCCCUCUUCUGUUCUGCCCCCACACUUUUAAAAUCCCUCUCUUGCGUCUUUGUAUCAGUUUUUUUUUGUUUUCCUUUUGUAACCGAUUCCACCAUGGAAAUAAUAUAUGUGCUAUCCCUCUAAAAACAAAAUCUCCUCUUUUUCAAAAUUCUGUUGAUUCUCCUUCCAAAUAGAUGGCGGCCCGUUCCUUAUGCCCAAAAAGCCAAAAAAUAUGAUUUAGAAAACUUGUAAUAAAAUGAAAUUAAAAUAAUAAAGAAAGUCAUACAAGUCACACAAGUCAUUUAGGUCAUGCAAUCAUGUAAGUCAUAUAAAAAGUGAGUCUAAAAGUACUUAAGUGGGCCUAAGUGAGCUUAAGUGGGCCUAAGUGAACUAAGCUCGAUGAAGUGUCUAAGUGGGCCUAAGACGUUUAGGAUAGUGCCUAAGUCUAAAUUAGAGCCGUCAAGGUCAUAAUGUGGAGUCGGAUAAACCCUUCAACCAAAGUCUCCAAAGUGGCUCAGAAAAUAUAAGUAGUAAUGAAUAGCAAUGGGCCACCAAGGAACUACUGUGGAGCACUGGAAGCGAACUUAAAGAUAUGUGCUAAAUGGAUAAAAUUGAGGGUCUACAACAACCUUCUCAAGGUAGUUUAUGCAAUUAUUCUUGAUUUUCUUCUCAUUUAUUUUAUUACAUUUUCAUUUCUAUAUCAUGUAAACCCAAUUCAACAUUUUCAUCUCCCAUCUGAGAAAGCAUUGUGGUUUUUCUUAAUCUAUGUUGAGAGCAGUUACACAUAUCUCAGGGCAAAACACCCCUGUUUCCUUAGUUCAUAGACUUUUCAGUAGCUUGACAUUCAUGAUGACUUUGUGAUCUUACUGCAUGCAGCCAGAUUUAACAGCCCCAGGCGACAUGGUCACCAAUUUUUCCCAUCUCCGAAGUACCUGGUGAUAAUCGAGUAGCGCAAUAUAACUGGCACGUCAAUGGCUUGCCCACAUGCUACUGGGGCAGCUGCCUACAUCAAGUCAUUUCACCCCACCUGGUCUCCUACUGCUAUUAAGUC